AUGCAGAGCAUAAAACGCUUGCCCAAAAGCGUCCACAGCUCCUUGCGCUCAAGCAUUAUCUUGUCUGACCUCCCAAGGGUUGUCGAGGAGUUGGUAUAUAAUAGCAUCGAUGCAAAUGCCAGAAAGAUCGACGUUUCAGUAAAUGUCAGAGCAUGUUAUGUUAAAGUGGAAGAUGAUGGUUGUGGUAUUGCUCGAGAUGAAUUGGUUCUAUUAGGAGAAAAAUAUGCAACAUCCAAGUUUCCUGAUGUCAUGGGUGAUGCGGAAUCUAGUUCUAGAAGUUUUGGAUUAAAUGGUGAAGCGCUCGCAUCACUUUCUGAUAUCUCUGUGGUUGAAGUCAGGACGAAGGCUCGUGGGAGGCCAAAUUCGUACUGCAAGAUAAUAAAGGGAUCCAAAUGCUCACAUUUAGGAAUAGAUGACCAGAGGGAAGCUGUUGGUACAACAGUUGUUGCUCGGGAGCUUUUUUAUAACCAGCCUGUGCGGAGAAAACAAAUGCAAUCUGGUUAUAAAAGAGAACUGCACAAUGUGAAGAAGUGUGUCCUGCGAAUUGCACUUAUUCAUCCACAGCUUUCAGUCAGACUUCUUGACACUGACAGCGAAGAUCAGUUGCUAUACACAGUUCCUUCAUCAUCCCCUUUGCCUCUUAUAUCAGACAGUUUUGGAAAUGAUGUCUCCAGUUGCCUUCAUGAAAUAUCUACCUCACAUCAAAGCUGGGCUCUUUCAGGGCACAUCUCUGGACCAACAAAUGUGUUCUGUAAUAAGGAUUUCCAGUACUUGUAUAUCAACUCAAGAUUCGUCAGUAGAAGCCCAAUCCAUAAUAUUCUGAAUAGUCUGGCAGCUAGUUUCCAGUCUUCUAUUACAAGGACGAUUGAAGAAACCGAUAUUCAGAGCCGAAAGAGGCAGAAGACUAAUGUCUACCCUGCAUUUUUGCUGAACUUCUUCUGCCCUAGAUCUAGCUAUGAUCUACAUUUUGAGCCUUCAAAGACUAUUGUGGAAUUCAAGGAUUGGCAAAGUAUCUUGUUUUUCUUUGAACAAACUAUCACAAACUACUGGAAGAAGCAUGUACCACAAUCAUCAAAAGGCAAAGCUAUUGACGAUACCUGUGUUCCUCUGAAAAGUGAUGUGAAGUUGAAUAGGGCCUUCCUAAAGCAUCAAAAUGUACAGAACAAGGAAGAUGAUGCUGAUUUACAGGAUCACACUCCACGUAAGAGUUCAGUCAGAGAAAGCAAUUUUGGUACAGGUGCAGCAACAGCUCCUAAAGACCUGGACUACUUUUCUUUUGAUAUGAAACCACCCCCAUGGCAUGUCUGUUAUCCAGAUCGAAUCAGCGAUGCAUCUGAACACUCUGACAAUGUUGCUAGGAACGAUCUUACACAUUUUCCUAAAAGGGUCAGUUAUCAGUGGUUGGAGGAUGGUUCCUCCGAGCUAGAAGACUGUAGUCUUUCAGGUGCUAACCCAACUGUUUGGAAAAAGCGACGGAUGGAAGGUAUAUUCCAUGGGCAUGCAUAUUCCUGUGAAGUUGGAAAUUUUGAAGACGUGCAAACUGAAGGCCUUUCAGCUGAUAACCAAGAGUCUGAGAUAAUGGGUCCAGAAAUUGAUCUCCAAGAACCUUGCUUUGGGGUUGUCAAUAGACCCAACAGAAUUACCUGUGAUUUUAUGCAUAAUGAAACUAAUAUAAAUGGAAACAUGUCUGGCUGUGAUGGAUUAUAUACUGAAUUUGAUAGAUUCGAUGAUGAUUGCCUACUCAAUGAAGUCACAGAGACAAUGGGUGAUAUUUCUUGCCCUGAGAUGCCCCACUUCAGUGAUGAAUUCUACCAUGAAGGUUGUAGUACCCCCAUUAUCUUGAAAAGGUGCAGUACAAGAAAGCAGUUGGGGACUGCAGCAGGAUAUGUUGACGGCCUUGAAACUAAUGCAAUUGCUCAGAUGAACUUCCCUGAUAUCCGUGCAGCGUGGGAAAGUGACGUCAUGGAUAUGUCCUCCAUCAAAGAUAACCAUCUUCAUUUAUCUCAUUCAUUCUUGUUACCUGAUACACCUAGCAGUCAAAGUCAUGCAAGGACUGGCUUGGAAUUGCAGGGGAGAUCAAGUAAAAGGUUUGCUUCUUGGAACUGUGAAAAUAUGGACAGUGAUUUUAGAUCUACUUGGGACAGAUUCACCAGUAAUUCGUCAAGAAUAUGUGAAGGAUCUAAACAUUUCAAUAACUUAGAUGAUGAACCUCAGUCACUGAAUUACCUCAAUCAUGUCGAUCAGUUUGUUUCUGAAGAUGAUGAGAUACCGUGGAAAUCAAAAAUCAGUGCACCAUUGUCACACAUUAUUUCUCCCGAGAAAAGUACCAACGGUUACCAGUUGAAUGGCUCUUCUUCCCACCUGGCAAACAACAGUGUGCUUAUUAAAGAUCUACCUAAUCAAGACAAUUUUGGAUGCGACAGGAGAUCCAGGUUUUCCAAGGGUAGAUCUAGGAGCUGUUCUGCCCCACCAUUUUACAAAGGCAAACGAAAAUUCCCUGGAUUAAAUCAUCCUCAGACUAAAUUGACAGCAGACGGUGAUAAAGAUAUCCCCAUUAAGGACUCAGAAGAAACUGCACCUGCACCAGAGAAUAUCUCAAAUAUGAGUGCAACCCAGCCUAUUCCUGAGACUUGCAGCAGUGAAUUUUCUGGCCUAAAUUUCAGCUUGAAGGGAAACGUGAAAAUGCAUGAAGAGACAUGUUCUGAUGGGCUUGAAAAUUUUACUGCUCAAAUAACUAAAUGGCGGGAUGACUCUGACCAGCAUACAGCUUUGGAGUCGCCACAUAUUCCUUCCGCAUGCUACGACGAUAUACUUAACAUUUCUUCUGGGCCUUUACAUCUCUCUUCUAGCUCGCUAGUUCCUGAGUGUAUUGAUAAAAAUUGCUUUGAGGAGGCAAGAGUUUUGUUGCAGCUGGAUAAGAAAUUUAUUCCCGUCAUAUCUGGGGAAAUGCUACUCCUUGUUGAUCAGCAUGCAGCUGAUGAAAGGAUACGUUUGGAGGAGCUCCGUAGCAAGGUUUUAUCAGAUGAAGACCGACGUAUCACUUACUUGGACUCAGAGAAGGAAAUGGCUCUCCCUGAGGCUGGAUUUCAAUUGUUCCAGAAGUAUGCUGAUCAGAUUCAGAAAUGGGGCUGGAUUAUCAACAAUUCCAGCACUUCCUCUCAUUCAUUCAAAAAGAACAUGAACAUUCUGAGGAAACAAGGCCGUGUAGUUACCCUUGCUGCUGUUCCAUGUAUUUUGGGUGUUGAUUUGACAGGAAAAGAUCUUACGGACUUUAUUCAGCAGCUUGAUGAGAGCGACGGGUCAUCGUCUAUCCCUGCAGCAGUUCUCCGUAUUCUUAAUUACAAAGCUUGCAGAGGGGCAAUCAUGUUUGGCGAUCCCUUGCUACCGUCAGAGUGCUCUCUGAUCAUUGAAGAGCUGAAAGCGACGUCCCUGUGCUUCCAGUGUGCUCACGGGCGUCCGACCACCGUGCCCAUCGUGAACGUGGCGUCCCUCCGCCGCCACUUGGCAAGGCUGGGAGCGCCGAGCGGGAGGAGCGAGGCGGAGGAGCCCUGGCAUGGCCUGUCGCAGCACGAAGCCAGCCUCGAGCGCGCCCGGACCCGCCUCAGACAGCUGAGGAGGCUGCGGCGUGGCACCCUGUAG
Molecule: ribosomal RNA, 3639 nt
Filed under: Triticum aestivum (bread wheat)
Lineage: Eukaryota; Viridiplantae; Streptophyta; Magnoliopsida; Poales; Poaceae
Description: partial small subunit ribosomal RNA
Source: RNAcentral